AGUCACGAGUUUGAUCAUGGCUCAGAACGAACGCUGGCGGCAUGCCUAACACAUGCAAGUCGAACGAGACCUUCGGGUCUAGUGGCGCACGGGUGCGUAACGCGUGGGAAUCUGCCCUUGGGUUCGGAAUAACUUCGGGAAACUGAAGCUAAUACCGGAUGAUGACGUAAGUCCAAAGAUUUAUCGCCCAAGGAUGAGCCCGCGUAGGAUUAGCUAGUUGGUGAGGUAAAGGCUCACCAAGGCGACGAUCCUUAGCUGGUCUGAGAGGAUGAUCAGCCACACUGGGACUGAGACACGGCCCAGACUCCUACGGGAGGCAGCAGUGGGGAAUAUUGGACAAUGGGCGAAAGCCUGAUCCAGCAAUGCCGCGUGAGUGAUGAAGGCCUUAGGGUUGUAAAGCUCUUUUACCCGGGAUGAUAAUGACAGUACCGGGAGAAUAAGCUCCGGCUAACUCCGUG
This 458-nucleotide ribosomal RNA is filed under the name uncultured bacterium. RNAcentral's name for it is "bacterial SSU rRNA". It matches the Rfam family "Bacterial small subunit ribosomal RNA", at positions 1 to 507 of the family's 1533-position model. The record is from RNAcentral.